GCGGCCUAUCAGCUUGUUGGUGAGGUAAUGGCUCACCAAGGCGACGACGGGUAGCCGGCCUGAGAGGGUGACCGGCCACACUGGAACUGAGACACGGUCCAGACUCCUACGGGAGGCAGCAGUGGGGAAUAUUGCACAAUGGGCGAAAGCCUGAUGCAGCAACGCCGCGUGAGGGAUGAAGGCCUUCGGGUUGUAAACCUCUUUUAGCAGGGAAGAAGCGAAAGUGACGGUACCUGCAGAAAAAGCACCGGCUAACUACGUGCCAGCAGCCGCGGUAAUACGUAGGGUGCAAGCGUUGUCCGGAAUUAUUGGGCGUAAAGAGCUCGUAGGCGGUUUGUCGCGUCUGCUGUGAAAAUCCGAUGCUCAACAUCGGACUUGCAGUGGGUACGGGCAAGCUAGAGUGCGGUAGGGGAGACUGGAAUUCCU
Molecule: ribosomal RNA, 426 nt
Filed under: uncultured Actinomycetes bacterium
Lineage: Bacteria; Bacillati; Actinomycetota; Actinomycetes
Description: bacterial SSU rRNA
Rfam family: Bacterial small subunit ribosomal RNA
Source: RNAcentral